AAAAGAAAAAGCCAAACUUGUCGACAGACAAGGACGGAAAGUUACGGGUCUUAAACGUAAAAAGAUAGCCGGACUGCCUUU
RNAcentral lists this non-coding RNA (81 nucleotides) under Desulforhopalus singaporensis. Its description in RNAcentral is "GEMM cis-regulatory element". It matches the Rfam family "c-di-GMP-I-GGC riboswitch aptamer". The record is from RNAcentral. Lineage: Bacteria; Pseudomonadati; Thermodesulfobacteriota; Desulfobulbia; Desulfobulbales; Desulfocapsaceae.